Molecule: ribosomal RNA, 253 nt
Filed under: uncultured bacterium
Lineage: Bacteria
Description: partial 16S ribosomal RNA
Rfam family: Bacterial small subunit ribosomal RNA
Source: RNAcentral
UACAGAGGUCUCAAGCGUUGUUCGGAUUCAUUGGGCGUAAAGGGUGCGUAGGCGGCGCGGUAAGUCGGGUGUGAAAUCUCGGAGCUUAACUCCGAAACUGCAUUCGAUACUGCCGUGCUUGAGGACUGGAGAGGAGACUGGAAUUUACGGUGUAGCGGUGAAAUGCGUAGAUAUCAGGAGGUACACCUGUGGUGUAGACAGCUUUCUGGACCAUAGCUGACGCUGAGACACGAAAGCGUGGGUAGCAAACAGG